Centrocercus urophasianus (Greater sage-grouse) is the source of this 451-nucleotide long non-coding RNA. RefSeq lists it as uncharacterized. Lineage: Eukaryota; Metazoa; Chordata; Aves; Galliformes; Phasianidae. The record is from RefSeq and is a predicted model, not a curated record. The transcript is spliced from 3 exons.
CAGGAAGUCUGCAGCAGAGCAAAGACAUGAACCUGUACUUGCUCUCAGGGGAUGUGCAUUCUUGGGCAAAAGAGAUUUCCCUAAGGGCAGGAUAACAGCUAAAUGAAAUGUAAAUGCUGGGAUUGCAUUAAGAUGCAGACCAUGUCUGCUGAAACUACUGCCUGCAAUGCUCCUUCAUGCCUGCAAUCAACAAAACAAACUUAGCACAGUUGUUGAAGAGAACAGAGGAUGCCAGCUUGUGUUCCUCCAUCUCACAGCUGUUCUUACCUGUGCCAACACCUGGAAAGCAAAAAGAUUUUUUGUGCUGUAAGAAACUGUUUGUACCAUAUAUUCUGCAACAGAAUGUUCAAAUAUCCAUGACAUUUCCCUGCAUUAUUUAACGUUUCUUUUCUUUAUUAAAUUUUCAUCCCUAAGACCUUAAGUUCAUUUUACUGGCUUCACGCAUUUCAAA